CAUAAAAGGUCCUGCCUGCCCAGUGACCCUGUUCAACGGCCGCGGUAUUAUGACCGUGCAAAGGUAGCGUAAUCACUUGUCUUUUAAAUAAAGACCAGUAUGAACGGCAAAACGAGGGCCUAACUGUCUCACUAGACCCGUCAGUGAAAUUAAUCUUUCAGUGCAGAAGCUGAAAUAUUUAUAUAAGACGAGAAGACCCUGUGGAGCUUUAAACCUUAAGCUAAUAUAAAUUAUACUAUAGCACCCGGUUUUGGGUUGGGGCGACCAUAAGAAAAAAUAAACUCUUAAGACACCAACAAGAGGGACACUUCAAAUAAAUAGUAAUACUAAUAUAUUGACCCAAUAUUUGAUCAACGAACCAAGUUACCCCAGGGAUAACAGCGCAAUCCACUCACAGAGCCCAUAUCGACGAGCGGGUUUACGACCUCGAUGUUGGAUCAGGACCACCUAAUGGUGCAACAACUAUUAAAGGUUCGUUUGUUCAACGAUU
This 490-nucleotide ribosomal RNA is filed under the name Nototriton picucha. RNAcentral's name for it is "partial 16S ribosomal RNA". It matches the Rfam family "Bacterial large subunit ribosomal RNA", at positions 1844 to 2589 of the family's 2925-position model. The record is from RNAcentral. Lineage: Eukaryota; Metazoa; Chordata; Amphibia; Caudata; Plethodontidae.